UUCGAGGCUGAGAAAACUGGUCAGAGGUGAUCCUGGAGCAAAGGGAGAGUUCCGGGUUGAGAUGGGAAUUGCAGGCAAACGCAGGGAGCAGAGCCAAGUCAUGAAGAGCUUGGAUCUGAUCCCGUGCCCGGUGGGGAAUCUUUGAGGCAGCAUUAAGGAGGGGAAAAUGGGAAGUUUGUACUCUAGAAAGCUUUCUUCGGCAGCCGUGUGGUGAAUGGGCUGAAUGAGAGUGAGGACAGUAAGAAAAGAUGGAAAACAGGGAAGUGAGGACUUAGAAAUGGGAUGUGCAGCAACCCGACUCUACAUUUUUGCAACAGGCAAGUGAAAUUUAGGAACAAAGAGAAUUUGCUGACAGUUUUCAGCUGUAGAGCAGAGACUUAUUCAUAUCAAGGUCCCAUUUAUUAGACCGACUCACAGCCCAGACUUGCAGUGGCCUUAGAGUGAAGUUCCUGCGUAUACCUGCCCUCAGAGACUGAAGAGCGAGUGUAUCACAGACUUGUGUUUACUGAUGCGGAAAUGCUGGUGACUAUUGGAGCAGCAUCUCCCAGGAUUGAGGAAACCAUAAUUUGAAGCUGAAUGAAGAAGAUCCAGGAAAGGACCCCAAGGAAUCACCUCCUUGCUAGACCACAAAGCCUGGAUGCCUGAAUCACCAGGUAGAGGAGGGCAGCCUGGGAGAUUUGUCUGCCUAGAAAUAUCAUGCACUG
Long non-coding RNA from Cervus elaphus (red deer), 704 nucleotides. RefSeq lists it as uncharacterized. The transcript is spliced from 3 exons. The record is from RefSeq and is a predicted model, not a curated record. NCBI's taxonomy places the organism in Eukaryota, Metazoa, Chordata, Mammalia, Artiodactyla, Cervidae.